Molecule: ribosomal RNA, 2933 nt
Filed under: Escherichia coli
Lineage: Bacteria; Pseudomonadati; Pseudomonadota; Gammaproteobacteria; Enterobacterales; Enterobacteriaceae
Description: 23S ribosomal RNA
Rfam family: Bacterial large subunit ribosomal RNA
Source: RNAcentral
GGGUUGUGAGGUUAAGCGACUAAGCGUACACGGUGGAUGCCCUGGCAGUCAGAGGCGAUGAAGGACGUGCUAAUCUGCGAUAAGCGUCGGUAAGGUGAUAUGAACCGUUAUAACCGGCGAUUUCCGAAUGGGGAAACCCAGUGUGAUUCGUCACACUAUCAUUAACUGAAUCCAUAGGUUAAUGAGGCGAACCGGGGGAACUGAAACAUCUAAGUACCCCGAGGAAAAGAAAUCAACCGAGAUUCCCCCAGUAGCGGCGAGCGAACGGGGAGCAGCCCAGAGCCUGAAUCAGUGUGUGUGUUAGUGGAAGCGUCUGGAAAGGCGCGCGAUACAGGGUGACAGCCCCGUACACAAAAAUGCACAUGCUGUGAGCUCGAUGAGUAGGGCGGGACACGUGGUAUCCUGUCUGAAUAUGGGGGGACCAUCCUCCAAGGCUAAAUACUCCUGACUGACCGAUAGUGAACCAGUACCGUGAGGGAAAGGCGAAAAGAACCCCGGCGAGGGGAGUGAAAAAGAACCUGAAACCGUGUACGUACAAGCAGUGGGAGCACAGAGCAAUCUGUGUGACUGCGUACCUUUUGUAUAAUGGGUCAGCGACUUAUAUUCUGUAGCAAGGUUAACCGAAUAGGGGAGCCGAAGGGAAACCGAGUCUUAACUGGGCGUUAAGUUGCAGGGUAUAGACCCGAAACCCGGUGAUCUAGCCAUGGGCAGGUUGAAGGUUGGGUAACACUAACUGGAGGACCGAACCGACUAAUGUUGAAAAAUUAGCGGAUGACUUGUGGCUGGGGGUGAAAGGCCAAUCAAACCGGGAGAUAGCUGGUUCUCCCCGAAAGCUAUUUAGGUAGCGCCUCGUGAAUUCAUCUCCGGGGGUAGAGCACUGUUUCGGCAAGGGGGUCAUCCCGACUUACCAACCCGAUGCAAACUGCGAAUACCGGAGAAUGUUAUCACGGGAGACACACGGCGGGUGCUAACGUCCGUCGUGAAGAGGGAAACAACCCAGACCGCCAGCUAAGGUCCCAAAGUCAUGGUUAAGUGGGAAACGAUGUGGGAAGGCCCAGACAGCCAGGAUGUUGGCUUAGAAGCAGCCAUCAUUUAAAGAAAGCGUAAUAGCUCACUGGUCGAGUCGGCCUGCGCGGAAGAUGUAACGGGGCUAAACCAUGCACCGAAGCUGCGGCAGCGACGCUUAUGCGUUGUUGGGUAGGGGAGCGUUCUGUAAGCCUGUGAAGGUGUGCUGUGAGGCAUGCUGGAGGUAUCAGAAGUGCGAAUGCUGACAUAAGUAACGAUAAAGCGGGUGAAAAGCCCGCUCGCCGGAAGACCAAGGGUUCCUGUCCAACGUUAAUCGGGGCAGGGUGAGUCGACCCCUAAGGCGAGGCCGAAAGGCGUAGUCGAUGGGAAACAGGUUAAUAUUCCUGUACUUGGUGUUACUGCGAAGGGGGGACGGAGAAGGCUAUGUUGGCCGGGCGACGGUUGUCCCGGUUUAAGCGUGUAGGCUGGUUUUCCAGGCAAAUCCGGAAAAUCAAGGCUGAGGCGUGAUGACGAGGCACUACGGUGCUGAAGCAACAAAUGCCCUGCUUCCAGGAAAAGCCUCUAAGCAUCAGGUAACAUCAAAUCGUACCCCAAACCGACACAGGUGGUCAGGUAGAGAAUACCAAGGCGCUUGAGAGAACUCGGGUGAAGGAACUAGGCAAAAUGGUGCCGUAACUUCGGGAGAAGGCACGCUGAUAUGUAGGUGAAGUCCCUCGCGGAUGGAGCUGAAAUCAGUCGAAGAUACCAGCUGGCUGCAACUGUUUAUUAAAAACACAGCACUGUGCAAACACGAAAGUGGACGUAUACGGUGUGACGCCUGCCCGGUGCCGGAAGGUUAAUUGAUGGGGUCAGCGCAAGCGAAGCUCUUGAUCGAAGCCCCGGUAAACGGCGGCCGUAACUAUAACGGUCCUAAGGUAGCGAAAUUCCUUGUCGGGUAAGUUCCGACCUGCACGAAUGGCGUAAUGAUGGCCAGGCUGUCUCCACCCGAGACUCAGUGAAAUUGAACUCGCUGUGAAGAUGCAGUGUACCCGCGGCAAGACGGAAAGACCCCGUGAACCUUUACUAUAGCUUGACACUGAACAUUGAGCCUUGAUGUGUAGGAUAGGUGGGAGGCUUUGAAGUGUGGACGCCAGUCUGCAUGGAGCCGACCUUGAAAUACCACCCUUUAAUGUUUGAUGUUCUAACGUUGACCCGUAAUCCGGGUUGCGGACAGUGUCUGGUGGGUAGUUUGACUGGGGCGGUCUCCUCCUAAAGAGUAACGGAGGAGCACGAAGGUUGGCUAAUCCUGGUCGGACAUCAGGAGGUUAGUGCAAUGGCAUAAGCCAGCUUGACUGCGAGCGUGACGGCGCGAGCAGGUGCGAAAGCAGGUCAUAGUGAUCCGGUGGUUCUGAAUGGAAGGGCCAUCGCUCAACGGAUAAAAGGUACUCCGGGGAUAACAGGCUGAUACCGCCCAAGAGUUCAUAUCGACGGCGGUGUUUGGCACCUCGAUGUCGGCUCAUCACAUCCUGGGGCUGAAGUAGGUCCCAAGGGUAUGGCUGUUCGCCAUUUAAAGUGGUACGCGAGCUGGGUUUAGAACGUCGUGAGACAGUUCGGUCCCUAUCUGCCGUGGGCGCUGGAGAACUGAGGGGGGCUGCUCCUAGUACGAGAGGACCGGAGUGGACGCAUCACUGGUGUUCGGGUUGUCAUGCCAAUGGCACUGCCCGGUAGCUAAAUGCGGAAGAGAUAAGUGCUGAAAGCAUCUAAGCACGAAACUUGCCCCGAGAUGAGUUCUCCCUGACUCCUUGAGAGUCCUGAAGGAACGUUGAAGACGACGACGUUGAUAGGCUGGGUGUGUAAGCGCAGCGAUGCGUUGAGCUAACCGGUACUAAUGAACCGUGAGGCUUAACCUUACAACGCCGAAGGUGUUU